RNAcentral lists this long non-coding RNA (1450 nucleotides) under Anas platyrhynchos platyrhynchos (common mallard). Its description in RNAcentral is "lncRNA (ENSAPLG00000021348.1)". The record is from RNAcentral. Lineage: Eukaryota; Metazoa; Chordata; Aves; Anseriformes; Anatidae.
UGCCUCAUUAAUUGAGGGAUAGCUACUAAGACUGUGUCACCCAGUGAAAGUUGUAGAAGUCUGCUAAUAAAUUAAGGGGAGAGACUUUUAUCUACUUUUAUCCUAGCGUUCCCUCCUGCAGUGUCUCUGAGUUGCUCACAGGCACAGCAUACUAUUCCAGCUGGUCUUCUCCACUGUCAAUCAGCAACUUUCACCCAGGCACACUAGCCAAACUCACUGGAGUGACUCCUAUUACCAGGCUCCCGAGCAAAUGCAGCUGGCACUGACAUACUUGCAGGCAGCAGGCAGAUGAUCAUGGAUAGCUGUAGAUGAUUAAGUUUCGAUCACAUCACCUCCCUGUGUACUUCCUGCUGUUCCUCUGCUUGAGAUUAAUGCCUCAGUAACAGAGCUGCCUCACUCAGUGUGCAGCUCAGUGGGAGAGUUUACACCUGGAGUGUAUUGCUGCAGUGUAGAUAAACAUUCCCACACAGCCCACAGCCUCACACCUCAAAAACUAUUUUAUCUUGUCUCUAGUGGGCUUGUGCUAGAGGAGGUGGGUUUGGGAACUCUGGUCAUCUGCUUUCAAGUUUAAAUCAUUUUCUUUGAGACCCUGUUGGCAUUUAAGGAUGGGGCUUUCUGUUUGUUAGCUUCCCCCAGAAGUGAAUAAUUACCCUACCUACAAUUAUAGUGCAGAUUUGCUGUUACCAUUCUCAGCGCUGGCAGGUUUGCCUCUGCAGCUGUUUUCCAUUAAGCCAGGAAACACUCUGUAACCAAGACUCCCAACAUGUAGCUGACCUCCUAAGGCUCAUCCAAUGAGAAGCAGCAGUAUCACUUAUCAGUAGGUGCCAGACUAUUUAGAUUUCUUGUUCAUAAGUUUACAAAGAAAACACAGCCAAUUCGGGCGGAUAAAAGACUGCAGAAGUGGGUGUUUCUUUUAUGCGGGCCCACCGAUCUCCUUAAAAUCCCAUGACAAAUUCCAGUCUUGUUCCAAGUUCUGUUCUCAUCACUGGUCUCCCAUGCCAAAACUUUUCUCUCUCAGCUUCGCAUACUGAAACAACUCAGUCGACCACCAAACAGUGCAAAGGAAGCAGCAACGUGAAGCUGAGGUGUGUAAAAAGAGGUAGCCAGAGCCACUCUGCUCUCAGAAACAAGGAGGAAGAGGAGGCCCUGCAUCUGACAAGGCCACUUCUGUACUUUUGGCUGGGCAGUGUCCCUCAGCAAGAUAUCCUAUAUCUUCUGAUGAGUUCAGUGAAAUAAUGCACGCUCUCCAAGGAGGAAGAAAGCAGAAAGAGAACCUUCAUGCCUUGGCAUGGUGGCUAUUUCUACGGGGACUGGGCAGGCCACUGCAACAUGCUGGAGUAGAAAGUAGUACCUUACCUGCCCUUGGCAGCUUUUUUUUCAUCAAAUUCUAGUUGCUGGUGAAAAAAAAAAUAUUAAUAAAAAAAAAAAAAAAAAUGGUGAUUGCCUUGCA